CCUACGGGUGGCAGCAGUGGGGAAUAUUGGACAAUGGGGGCAACCCUGAUCCAGCCAUGCCGCGUGUGUGAAGAAGGCCCUCGGGUUGGAAAGCACUUUCAGUGAGGAAGAACGCCUGGUGGUUAAUACCCAUCAGGAAAGACAUCACUCACAGAAGAAGCACCGGCUAACUCCGUGCCAGCAGCCGCGGUAAUACGGAGGGUGCGAGCGUUAAUCGGAAUUACUGGGCGUAAAGCGCGCGUAGGUGGCUUGAUAAGCCGGUUGUGAAAGCCCCGGGCUCAACCUGGGAACGGCAUCCGGAACUGUCAAGCUAGAGUGCAGGAGAGGAAGGUAGAAUUCCCGGUGUAGCGGUGAAAUGCGUAGAGAUCGGGAGGAAUACCAGUGGCGAAGGCGGCCUUCUGGACUGACACUGACACUGAGGUGCGAAAGCGUGGGUAGCAAACAGGAUUAGAUACCCUUGUAGUC
RNAcentral lists this ribosomal RNA (465 nucleotides) under Vreelandella stevensii. RNAcentral's name for it is "partial 16S ribosomal RNA". It matches the Rfam family "Bacterial small subunit ribosomal RNA", at positions 338 to 795 of the family's 1533-position model. The record is from RNAcentral. Lineage: Bacteria; Pseudomonadati; Pseudomonadota; Gammaproteobacteria; Oceanospirillales; Halomonadaceae.